Molecule: ribosomal RNA, 253 nt
Filed under: uncultured bacterium
Lineage: Bacteria
Description: partial 16S ribosomal RNA
Rfam family: Bacterial small subunit ribosomal RNA
Source: RNAcentral
UACGGGGGGGGCAAGCGUUGUUCGGAAUUACUGGGCGUAAAGGGCUCGUAGGCGGCCAACUAAGUCAGACGUGAAAUCCCUCGGCUUAACCGGGGAACUGCCUCUGAUACUGGAUGGCUUGAGAGUGGGAGAGGGAUGCGGAAUUCCAGGUGUAGCGGUGAAAUGCGUAGAUAUCUGGAGGAACACCGGUGGCGAAGGCGGCAUCCUGGACCAACACUGACGCUGAGGAGCGAAAGCCAGGGGAGCAAACGGG